Molecule: ribosomal RNA, 382 nt
Filed under: uncultured bacterium
Lineage: Bacteria
Description: bacterial SSU rRNA
Rfam family: Bacterial small subunit ribosomal RNA
Source: RNAcentral
CCUAACACAUGCAAGUCGAACGGUAACAGGAAGCAGCUUGCUGCCUCGCUGACGAGUGGCGGACGGGUGAGUAAUGUCUGGGAAGCUGCCUGAUGGAGGGGGAUAACUACUGGAAACGGUAGCUAAUACCGCAUAAUGUCGCAAGACCAAAGAGGGGGACCUUCGGGCCUCUUGCCAUCGGAUGUGCCCAGAUGGGAUUAGCUUGUUGGUGGGGUAACGGCUCACCAAGGCGACGAUCCCUAGCUGGUCUGAGAGGAUGACCAGCCACACUGGAACUGAGACACGGUCCAGACUCCUACGGGAGGCAGCAGUGGGGAAUAUUGCACAAUGGGCGCAAGCCUGAUGCAGCCAUGCCGCGUGUAUGAAGAAGGCCUUCGGGUUG